Long non-coding RNA from Balaenoptera ricei (Rice's whale), 725 nucleotides. RefSeq lists it as uncharacterized. NCBI's taxonomy places the organism in Eukaryota, Metazoa, Chordata, Mammalia, Artiodactyla, Balaenopteridae. The record is from RefSeq and is a predicted model, not a curated record. The transcript has 4 exons.
GCUCUGGAGCCUCGCGACAGCUCCUGCAGGUAUUUUUAUCUGAAAAGGAGCGGUGAGCUGACGCCACCAGCGGGUGCCCGUCUAGUUCCGGGCUCCUUAGAAAAGUCACACGCGACGAGGUGGCAGCGCGCACGUCUCCGGUUUCACUGUGACGCGGUGUGGUGACCGCCGCGUGUGAUGAGCUACAGUGAAGGCCUCCCUGCUUCCCGCGGAGCUUUCCGGGACGCCCUUCUCCCGACCUCGGCUGCCCCAGCCCAGCGGCUCCACAGCCCGUUCUUGUGCGGUAGCACAGGCGCUUUGGUCUGUCCCCGGAAGUGCCGCGUUGAAGAGGGUCCGCUCAUCCUCGUGGGAACUGGACACGUUGAAAGCCUGGCACCAUGUAAAAGUACUUUCAAUACUUACUCAGUGAAUGGAUGAUAUAUGGAUUGAGAGUUGGAUAGAUGGAUUGUUAAAUGAAAAGAACUGCUUCUCUAAGUACAGCUGGAGGAGAGCUUCAAGAUGGCCGAGGAGUAGGAUGUGGAGAUCACCCUCCACCCCACAAAUACAGCAGAAAUACAUCUACAUGUGGAACAACUCCUACAGAACACCUACUGAACGCUGGCAGAAGACCUCAGACUUCCCAAAAGGCUAGAAACUCCCCACGUACCUGGGUAGGGCACAAGAAAAAAGAAAAAACAGACAAAAGAAUAGGGACGGAACCUGCACCACUGGGAGGGAGCUGUGCA